This is a long non-coding RNA of Xenia sp. Carnegie-2017, 397 nucleotides long. RefSeq lists it as uncharacterized. The record is from RefSeq and is a predicted model, not a curated record. The transcript is spliced from 2 exons. NCBI's taxonomy places the organism in Eukaryota, Metazoa, Cnidaria, Anthozoa, Malacalcyonacea, Xeniidae.
UCACGACAAAUCUUAGAUGAUUCGUUGCUGUAUGAGUUUGAAGCUUUCUCAAAUGUAUUGGAGAAUCGUUAACAAAAACAACAAAACUUAAAGACAAGUAGAUAAGUUUACGUUACGAAAGAAAACAAGUGCGGAAAAAUGGCAAAAAUAUAAAAUAGUUCUUAAUUAUUGAACAGUUAUUUAUAGAGUUCAACGUCCUUGACAGAUGGCCUUUAUUAGCUAUCUCUCAUGGCUCAAAGCUUCUUUGUUUCUUCUCGGGCAUUAUUUUUUGCGCGACUUGCAUUUAUCAAAUUUGUUUCCUUGCUGUUUUUUCAGAAUCCACUCAUGGAUUAUUAGAUAUAUAGAAUAUGCUUUAGCAUAGCAACUUUGCAUUAAGAAAAAUAAAUAUUUAUUCAAG